UGCUAGUGUAGCUUACCUAGCUCAUACUAGUGUAGCUUACCUAGCUCAUACUAGUGUAGCUUACCUAGCUCAUGCUAGUGUAGCUUACCUAGCUCAUGCUAGUGUAGCUUACCUAGCUCAUACUAGUGCUGGUUACCUUAGUUGAUGCCAGUGUAGGUUAGCAGCUAGUUGAUGCCAGUGUAGGUUAGCAGCUAGUUGAUGCCAGCGUAGGUUAGCAGCUAGUUGAUGCCAGUGUAGGUUAGUAGCUACUUGAUGCCAGUGUAGGUUAGUAGCUAGUUGAUGCCAGUGUAGGUUAGUAGCUAAUUGAUGCCAGUGUAGGUUAGCAGCUAGUUGAUGCCAGUGUAGGUUAGCAGCUAGUUGAUGCCAGUGUAGGUUAGCAGCUAGUUGAUGCCAGUGUAGGUUAGUAGCUAGUUGAUGCCAGUGUAGGUUAGCAGCUAGUUGAUGCCAGUGUAGGUUAGCAGCUAGUUGAUGCCAGUGUAGGUUAGCAGCUAGUUGAUGCCAGUGUAGGUUAGUAGCUAGUUGAUGCCAGUGUAGGUUAGUAGCUAGUUGAUGCCAGUGUAGGUUAGCAGCUAGUUGAUGCCAGUGUAGGUUAGCAGCUAGUUGAUGCCAGUGUAGGUUAGCAGCUAGUUGAUGCCAGUGUAGGUUAGUAGCUAAUUGAUGCCAGUGUAGGUUAGCAGCUAGAUGAUGCCAGUGUAGGUUAGUAGCUAGUUGAUGCCAGUGUAGGUUAGCAGCUAGUUGAUGCCAGUGUAGGUUAGUAGCUAAUUGAUGCCAGUGUAGGUUAGCAGCUAGUUGAUGCCAGUGUAGGUUAGUAGCUAGUUGAUGCCAGUGUAGGUUAGCAGCUAGUUGAUGCCAGUGUAGGUUAGUAGCUAAUUGAUGCCAGUGUAGGUUAGCAGCUAGUUGAUGCCAGUGUAGGUUAGUAGCUAGUUGAUGCCAGUGUAGGUUAGUAGCUAAUUGAUGCCAGUGUAGGUUAGCAGCUAGUUGAUGCCAGUGUAGGUUAGUAGCUAGUUGAUGCCAGUGUAGGUUAGCAGCUAGAUGAUGCCAGUGUAGGUUAUCAGUUAGUUCAUGCCAAUGUAGGUUACCUAAUUGAUGCUAGUUAUUGACCUACAAUAGUUAAUACUAAUCUAGCUACUUAGCUACAGUAGUUGAUAGUAGUGCAAAAUUCAUUAUAUUUAGUUACAUUCUCUGAAGUGUUUAGUGAUAUGGAAAAGGCUCAUACUUGUUACUAAUUUAGUGUUUGAGCCUCUGACUACAGUGUGGCGAUAGUCCUAAUAUUACCUCUCUAGUAUUUUGUGAUGUAUAACGUGUGUGCCAAAGGGGAUAUUAUGUUGUACUUAAGGGAUAAGUUUGACAUUCUUGUAGCACAUGCAAAUAUGAACUGUAUUCUUAAUGCAGAAUUUCUAGUUUAGCAAAAUAGUAGAUGUUGGGGUUUAAUUAAGAAGGUCCUUAGCUUCAUAAUUUUCAACUCUUGUUAAUACAGUUAUAGUCCUAUCAGUGAUUUAUGUGUCUGUUGUGUGUUAUUAAAGGCUAGUUUUUGAGUGAUCUGAAAUUAUUAAAAUAAGAUGAAUUAUCUUUUAUUUUAUUUAUUUGUAUCUUGAGAAAAAAAAAAAUCCUGCAACAAAUUAACUUUAUUGGUUUAUGAGUAAUUUGGACUAUUGUAAUAUGAAAGGCAACUUUAACUAGUUGUGAAUGUUCAGGUCAUUUGUUUCAAUACAUUUGUUUAACUUU
Molecule: non-coding RNA, 1725 nt
Organism: Procambarus clarkii (red swamp crayfish)
Lineage: Eukaryota; Metazoa; Arthropoda; Malacostraca; Decapoda; Cambaridae
Source: RefSeq, a predicted model, not a curated record